Non-coding RNA from Rattus norvegicus (Norway rat), 12672 nucleotides. NCBI's taxonomy places the organism in Eukaryota, Metazoa, Chordata, Mammalia, Rodentia, Muridae. The record is from RefSeq and is a predicted model, not a curated record.
CCCUGUAAGAAAAUGAAGUAGCAAUAAUUAAACAUCAGACCAUCACUAAGCCUCUGACUAUAUCACUUUAAUAAGUCAUGAUAAGCUACCUAUGAAGUCACUUUCUCACAAUGUUAACACAGAAAUGCUGUCUUUAAAACAAUGAAGUACCAGUAUAGUUUUCUAUAUGUAACAGACCCUACAUAGUCUAUGCAUGUUUUUCUGUGAUGAAGGGUUAAUUUUAAGUAGCUAAAUUUUCUUUCAGCAGUUGGAUGACUCCUUACCUACUAUACUAUAUAUGAAUAAGAUUCAAAACUGUAAUUUAUUCAGCAAAUUUUCAAAACCUCUUUCUUUUCCUUAACUGUGGGAGAGCUAUAGGGUAAGUCCAAACCGAUGGUAGAAUCUUGAAGUGGCUAAAGUGCUGUUUCCCAGUGCCUUUCCCUAGGUCUGUGCCCUGAGUAGAGUGAUGAUGGCCUCAGGGACGUUCAGCCUAUUACAGAACUGAUAGAUACUCCACGCGGCAGUCUUCUCUCCUGGAUGACCAGGUACAAAGGGUGCUGAGUUACAGUCAGACUAGACAUUAUCCACCCGAGUCUUCUGUCCCUGCUCUCAGAACAGCAGUUUUCUUCUGCAGCCUCCUUUGUAUCAGAGACCAGGGAUACACAGUGGGUACCAGCUGGAGGCAAAGGGUAAAUGGCUGCUCCCUCCCCAGAUUAUCUGUGAUCUGCUCAGUGUUCAAGCGCACGAAUGCUCUUCCUGAGGUGGCUCCAUGUGGUGUCUGGCAGCAGGAACUCCCCAUCCCCACCCGGAGGCCCUCUCACAGGAGACUUCUGUCCAUCUGUGUUCUGCUUUGACACCACCCCUUCUGCCCAAUCCUUGUCCUUUGCAUCGCGGUAUUCCCCAUAACCCUCUUUUGUUUCUAAUUCCACCUCAACAGCGGAGUCUGCAAUGAGCAAUUCUGUAAUUUCAAGUUUAGUACAAGUGCUAUGAGCUAGAAAGGGCAGGGAAAACAGUUUCUCUUAGCCCUACACACAUCUUGUACAAACUUUAGGCCGAAAACAGGACCAUUCUGCCCUACCUUCCCCUAGCCUCCCUUCCCCUCUGCUUCCAGCUCUCCUCCCCACUUCCAGGGUUUUAGGCCUUAACUUCACUGGGUUAUUUGUUGAUGGCAAAAACCCAUAGAAUAGGAUCUGUCCAGAUGGAAAGGAUUCAGGGAACUAUCUAUUAAUUUUAUUUUAAAAAUCAUAACCAUCAACAUGUAGAAACAUUCUUAGAGUAUCAGACUAAACGUGAAAGUUACCUUCUAAGAAAUAACAAUUUUAUUUAUGUUGUGACAUAAAUCAUGUAUCAUAACAUAUGCAUUUUAAAGUGUGUAAUCCAAUGUUUUAAGUAUUAUCAGCAGUUUAAACACUUACAAACCGCAAACUGAAAUCUUAUGUUACUAGCAGUGCUUCCUGAUCCCCACCGUCAUCCUUGGAGGUUACACAGUAUGUGGUCGUUUGUGACCACUGUGUUCUCAAGGAUGGUUUAUGCUGAAGCAUUUAUUGGCACAUCAUUCUUUAAACUGCCAAAUAAUACUUCAGAGCACAUUUGUGUUAACAUUAACCAUCUCAUUAACAGUUUCUAUUCACUUCUUGGCUGCUAGGCAGAAUGAUGCUGUGAACAUGUGGAGAUGUUCUCAGUUCUUUCAGGAAGUUACCAAGAAGUCACACUCUGUGGUGGGCUCCUUCCCUCCCUUCCCUUGUCUUCCCUCUGCCCCUGAGCCAGGGUUCCUCUAUUUGGCCCAGGCUGUCCUUAGAUUCACUAUGUAGCCAAGUCUAGCCUCAAACCUAUGAUCCAGAAUGCUAGGACUCCAAGCACAUGCCACCAUGCAGGGAACCAUGGAGUUGGCCUGGUCUAGCUUGUCUCUAGAGGCUUUUCAGGUUAGAGUUCAUGGCUUGUAGGACACUGCGUGCCUUUCAGUUCCUGAGAAAUGGGGGCACUCCCUCAGGCAGUGAAACAUUCAGGCCACAUUAUGACUGUCUAUAGUCCCUAGAAGUAAACGAAGCACCUAGAAGUGUGAUAGGACAAUUAAUCUUAGACAUUACUAUUGGGUGCCCUUUAUCGCUUGCAGAUGUCAUUGUAUCCUGAGAACAACCAUUAUAAUAAUCCGAGAGGCCACCAUUAUACUGUUUCUGAUAAGGGUAUACAAAGUCUGAUUGUGUUCAAUAAACAUGUAAUAGCCUUAGUCUUACCGUGACCCUUCAGGUUGUUCAUGGUCAAAAUUCGUUUCUCAUUGGCCCUCAGUUAACCUUGGCAGAGUGAGUGCUGGUCUUACCUCACCACACUCGCUCACAAAAUCUAUCCUAAAACUAAGACUAGUACAGGGUUUUAUACUUCUAUUAGCACUGUAGCAAAUUCCCAAUUUCUCUACAUUCUUAUCAGCACAUAGCAGCUGCCUUUCUAUUGGAUUUCUCACUGGUACGAAGCAGUAUCUUAUUCUGAAUGGAGUAACUCUUUAAGAUAUAUCUUCUUUGGAGAACUAUUUUUGAAAUUGUUUACAUCCUUUAGAAAUUGAAGCAUAUGCCUUUAUACUGCUGGGCUCUUUCUAUAGUCUAGGUACAUGCUUUUCAUAAGAUAUAUGAUUUGAAAGCAUUUUUCCUCCUAGGUAUUAUUUUUACCUUCUAUAUGUUGUCAUUUGAAACUCAAGCUUUUAAUUGUUUAAAAUUUAUCUACCUCCUUUUCUUUUUGCAUCUGUGCUCAGAUCUAAGAAAGCACUAUCGCUAGGACACAAGGAUUUUCUUCCAGUUCAUGGAAGUUUAGUACAGUUUCCUUCUUUGGUAAGGCAGGACCUCAUUUGGCCCAGGCUGGCCUUGAACUUGGUCUAUAGGCAAAGAAAACUUUGAACUUUUGAUCCCCCUGCUUCCUGGUAUGGUACCAUGUCAGAGCUAUUUGGUGCUGCGAUCAAAUGAAGGAUUCUGUGCAGUCUUGGCAAGAACUCUUACCUGAACUAUAUCUCACCACUAUUGAUUACUGACUACGCUGUGUCUAGCUGCGAAAUGCUUGCGUUUAAGCUGCUUGGAGUCUCCUGUCCUAUUUUAAUGCACAGAUGAGUAUUCUCAUCAAAUUCUGGGAUAUUUCUGUUCUUUCCCUUUGCCUCCCACUCUCUCUCUUUUCUGGGUUCCCACUGUGUGUACACUGAUAUUACUAACGGUGCCCUGCACAGUUUUUCUUCCAUUAGUUUAUCUUUACUGUAUCUUUUCAUCCUCCAAGUGGAUACUUUGAACUGACACAUAUUCAACUUCUGAGUCCCUAUUCUGCCAGCACAAAUCUAAUGUUGGACUUCAGAAGUAAAAAUUUCUGUCUAGUUGUUGUACUUUUCAACUCCUGAACAUCUGAUUCUUCAAAAAUAAUUUAUGAUGUUUACUCUUUGGUGAGGCACUGUUUCCAUUUGUUUUGUUUUUAGAGUGGUUGAACACCUUUAUAGUAAUAGGGUCUUUUUCUAGCAAGUCUAAUGUGGAUGUUUCUUACCAGACAGUUGGCUGACUGCUUUUACACAGGUAUGAGCCAUAUUUCCCUGUUUAAUGUUCUGCAUACCUAACAAUUUCAAUUGACGAUUAGAUACAAUAUAAAGUGGUGACUCUGGAAAUCAGGCCCCAUACUGAAAGACCCCAGCUUAGCAGCAGUAACGCCAUUUUGCAAGGCUGUACUUAAGAUGACUGGUUCAGAGAAAGGUUAAAACACUGAGUACACAGCGGCUGCCAAGCAGGAUGUGUUUGGUUGAAGGCCUGGCAACAGGACGACUUCGGUUGAACACCUGACAAUGAAAAAAGCCCCGGGAGAGGUCCCACACCCUGGUGGGGGGCCGAGUCAGCCGUUAUGUUCCAAGAAGGUAGCUAAGAAACUUGCCCCCGGGCUGAACCCUUGGGGGGCCGAGUCAGUCGUUAUGUUUCAGGAAGGUAGCUAGGAAACUUGCCCCCGGGCUAAACCCUUGCCAUAUUAGAAUCCACCAAUUAUAUCCCUGUAACCAUGCAUCUGCUUCUGUAUGCUUGCUUCUGCUCCCCAAAAUCCUAUAAAAGCCCAUCCUUGGUUCCGUGGGGCGCGCCAGUCCCCCGAGUGACUGAAGCGCCCACAGGUGCCUGUGCCUGUGUAUCCCGACAAUAAACCAAAUCCUCUUGCUGAUUGCAUCCUGUGGUGUCUCGGUCUGGUCUUUGGAGUUGGAGGGUCUCCAUCCCGAGGGAAAGUUCUCCCUGAGAGCUUUUCAUUUGGUGCAUUGGCCGGGAAAGGAGAUCCUCCACCCAGGGACCACCGACCACCCACUGGGAGGUAAGCCGGCCGGCGUCUGUCUGUCUGUCUGAUUUUGUCUCGUUCUGCCUUAUUCUGUCUGUUCUGUGAGCGCUCGGCCAGGUCUGUUCUGUGAGCGCUCAGCCAGGUCUGUUCUGUGAGCGCUCAGCCAGGUCUGUUCUGUGAGCGCUCAGCCAGGUCUGUUCUGUGAGCGCUCAGCCAGGUCUGUUCUGUGAGCGCUCAGCCAGGUCUGUUCUGUGAGCGCUCAGCCAGGUUGUUUGGAAUUUGGGCGGGACGAAGAAGGAGCUGAGGAGCUCGGACUUCUCGCCCCGCAGCCCUGGAAGACGUUCCAAGGGUGUUGGGGCCCGACUUUUCGGGGCCCAAUCUGGGAGAGGAGAAAGAUCCGGACUAACGGCACCUCUGUCUGUAUUUUUGGUUUUCAGAGGGCCCCGGACCUUUGCCACCUCCAUCUGACUUUUUGCUUUCAGUUUGGUACCAAAGCCGUGCAGCACGCCUGUCUGUUGUUUGUUUGACUGUUGGUGUUGUUUGUUUUCUCUGUGUUCUAAUCUUCCUUAGAACUAACAUGGGACAGUCCCUAACAAUGCCCCUAAGUCUCACUCUUGAUCAUUGGGAAGACGUCCACGACCGGGCACACAACCAGUCUGUCGAGGUUAAAAAAAGGAAAAUGACAGACUCUCUGCACAUCCGAGUGGCCCACUUUCGGAGCGGGAUGGCCAGUGAAUGGCACAUUUAAUAAGAUCAUUAUUUUACAGGUUAAAGAUCGGGUCGUCCACGGACAUCCUGACCAGGUUUCUUCUCGCCUUAAACCCUCCCCCUGGGCGGAACCCUUCGUGGACCCGAAUUGGCCUCCCCUCAACCCCCAGCCUGUCCCCUCGGCCCCGCCUGGUCCGCCGGCCACGUCUUCCUCUCUCUACCUUUGUGAAAUCAGAGCCUUCUAAGAAACCUGUCCUCCCGGCAGACCCAAACUCCCCUCUCAUAGAUCUUCUCUCUGACAGGCCCGGCUAAAACGGAGGAGGCAGAGCCGCCGGCCAGAUCAGUUGCCGGGCCACAGUCUGAUAAGGGUUUCUCCCCUGUCGCAGGGAGAUUGCGCAAUAAGCGCGAGGUGAUGCCAGAUUCAACCUCCCAGGCUUUAACCGGUGGCCAGACCCAAUACUGGCCGUUUUCAGCAGCUGACAUUUACAAUUGGAAACAACACAACCCUUCUUUCUCCAAAGAUCCGAUGGCACUCACCGACCUAAUAGAAUCUGUUUUACUUACCCACCAGCCUACUUGGGAUGACUGCCAACAGCUCUUACAGGCCCUCUUAACCUCAGAAAAAAAAACAAAGAGUGUUCCUAGAGGCCAGAAAGCAUGUUCUGGGAGAUGAUGGGCGUCCCACCCAGCUGCCUGAGGAAAUUGAUGCUACAUUCCCACUUAAGAGACCAAACUGGGAUUUUAAUACAGCUGAAGGUAAGGGACACCUACGCCUUUAUCGCCAGUUGCUUCUAGCGGGUCUCCGAGGGGCUAUACGACGCCCUACUAAUUUGGCUCAGGUAAAACAGGUAUUACAGGAAGCAGGGGAAACUCCCUCCGCCUUUCUAGAGAGACUUAAGGAGGCCUACCGUAUGUACACUCCCUAUGACCCAGAUGACCCAGGACAAAUGACGAGUGUCUCUAUGUCCUUCAUCUGGCAGGCUGCUCCAGAUAUCAGGACUAAGUUACAGAGGUUAGAAAAUUUGCAGGGCUAUACAUUACAGGAUUUACUUAAAGAAGCUGAAAAGAUUUUUAAUAAGAGAGAGAUAAAAAAAAAACAAAACAAAAAAUUGAGUCGAAUCUUGGCCGCCGUAGUUCAGGGCCAAAAAAAGGAAGGGAGAUAGGGGGGAGCUCGAAAGGGGCUGAAGCUGGAUAAAGAUCAAUGUGCCUAUUACAAAGAGAAAGGGCACUGGGCCAGAGAGUGCCCCAAGAAGCCUGGCGGACCCCGAAAGCCUCGACCACGAACCUCCCUCUUGGCUCUAGAUAAAGAUUAGGGAGGUCAGGGCCAGGAGCCCCCCCUGAGCCCAGGGUAACGCUUAAAGUUGGGGGGCAGCCGGUUGCUUUCCUGAUAGACACAGGAGCCCAGCAUUCAGUCCUCACUCAAGCUUCAGGACAACUCAGCGACCGGACGGCCUGGGUACAAGGAGCUACUGGUGAGAAACAAUACCGAUGGACUACGGACCGCCGGGUUCAGCUGGCUACUGGUAAGGUGACCCAUUCCUUCUUACAUGUUCCGGACUACCCGAACCCUCUGCUGGGCCGUGACCUGCUCACCAAACUAAAAGCACAAAUUCAUUUUGAGGAAGGAGGGGCCCAAAUAACUGGCCCCCACGGAACUCCCCUUCAAGUUCUAUGAAUAUAGACUAUAUGAACUGGGACAGGACAAGCCACAAUCCCUAGAAAUAGACACUUGGGUCACGAAUUUUCCACUGGCUUGGGCAGAGACUGGUGGGAUGGGGUUGGCGCUCCAACAGCCCCCCUUAAUUAUACAGUUAAAGGCCACUACAACUCCAGUCUCCAUAAAACAAUACCCCCUGUCACAUAAAGCUUAUCAAGGUAUAAGGCUUCACAUUACGAGGCUUCUAGAUCAAGGCAUCCUAGUCCCCUGCCGGUCGCCUUGGAAUACGCCUCUUCUGCCUGUUAAGAAACCCGGCACUGGAGCUUAUAGGCCAAUACAAGACUUGAGAAAGGUCAACAAGAGGAUAGAAGAUAUUCAUCUGACUGUUCCAAACCCUUACAAUUUGCUCAGUAACUGUUCAUCGAUGAGAAACAGGGGUAUGCUAAAGGGGUCCUAACACAAAGGUUGGGACCCUGGAAACGCCCUGUGGCCUACCUGUCUAAGAAAUUGGACCCUGUGGCCUCCGGCUGGCCACCGUGCCUAAGGAUGGUGGCUGCUAUUGCUGUCCUGAUCAAGGACACUGGAAAAUUGACUUUGGGACAGCCACUCACCAUCCUAACACCCCACGCAGUGGAGGCCUUGGUAAAGCAGCCCCCAGACCGCUGGCUCUCUAAUUCUCACACCAAGCCUUGUUACUGGAUGCAGAACGGGUUCAGUUUGGGCCCGUAGUCACCCUCAAUCCUGCCACCUUGCUUCCUCUACCAGAGGAGGCAGAACAGCAUGACUGCCUACAAGUCCUCGCAGAAGUACAUGGAACCAGGCCGGACCUAUCGGACCAGCCUCUUCAGAAUGCUGACCACACAUGGUACACGGAUGACAACAGCUUCUUGGCAGAGGGAGAGCGAAAGGCUGGAGCUGCGGUCACUACGGAGGACAAAGUGAUUUGGGCGAAAGCCCUGCCUGCUGGUACCUCCACACAACGGGCUAAACUCAUCGCCUUGACUCAGGCGCUCAAGAUGACAAAAGGUAAGAGGCUAAAUAUAUAUACAGACAGCCGUUAUGCCUUUGCCAUGGCACACAUCCACGGGGAGAUCUACCGGAGGCGGGGGCUGCUCACAUCUGAGGGUAAAGAUAUGGCUAAAAUUCUGGCCCUCUUAGAAGCCCUAUUCUUGCCCAAAAGACUGAGUAUUAUACAUUGUCCAGGACACCAGAAAGGGCACAACCCAGAGGCACGAGGAAACCGGCUGGCCGAUGCCACGGCGCGAGAAGCGGCCAUGAGCAAACAAAUCUUGUCCUUAAAUAGCCCAGACCAACCCACGCCCCCACCAGUGGGACAAACCAGUUGGGUUUACGCCCAUGAGGACAUAGAGCUCCUAAAAAAAUGGGGGCCAUCUACCACCCUCAACUAAAACAGUGGGUCUACAAAGAAAAGACAGUUAUGCCAAUGAAAAUGACUUUUGAAUUGAUCUCCUUUUUACAUAAAUUAACCCAUUUGGGGUUUAAGAAGAUAAAAACCUUACUAGAUCGGGAAGAGAUAAAUCUGUGUUUUUUUUUGAAUCGGGACAAAGCGAUACAAAAGGUGACUGAGAGUUACAAAGCGUGCGCUCAGGUUAACCCGGAAAGGACCAUGAUUGGACAAGGAGUUCGUCCUAGGGGACACCGUCCCGACAUCCAUUGGGAAAUUGAUUUUACUGAAAUUAAACCAGGUAUAUAUGAAUAUAAGUAUCUCCUAGUGUUUGUAGACACCUUCUCAGGAUGGGUCGAAGCCUUCCCCACAAAGCACGAGACUACAAAAAUGGUCACUAAGAAGCUCCUCGAGGAAAUCUUUCCCAGGUAUGGCAUGCCUCAAGCGUUGGGGUCGGACAACGGGCCCGCUUUCGUCUCCCAAGUAAGUCAGUUGGUGGCCAAACUGCUGGGGAUUGAUUGAAAAUUACAUUGUGCCUAUAGACCCCAGAGUUCAGGUCAGGUAGAACGCAUGAAUAGAACAAUUAAGGAGACUUUAUCCAAACUUGCGCUUACAACUGGCUCAAAGGAUUGGGUGGCCCUCCUUCCCCUAGUUCUAUAUCGGGCCCGGAAUACCCCGGGCCCCCAUGGUCUAACUCCUUUUAAAAUAAUAUAUGGAGCACCACCCCCAUUUGUCCAUUUCUUUGAUUCAACAUUGCUGAUUUUGCUGACAGCCCUUCUCUGAGGGCCCAUUUACAGGCCCUACAGAUUGUGCAGAGAGACGUCUGGAGACCUAUGGCCACUGCUUACCAGGACAAGCUUGAACAUCCGAUAGUGCCACACCCGUUCCAGAUUAGAGACACCGUGUGGGUGCGCAGACACCAGACCAAGAAUCUCGAGCCACGGUGGAAAGGACCCUACACCGUCCUCCUGACUACCCCGACCGCCCUAAAGGUAGACGGAGUCGCGGCUUAGAUCCACGCACCACACGUCAAGACAGUCCGGUCUGAGGAAUUGACUAAUCACAACACUACACCCCAGACAUGGAGAGUUCAGCGCACUCCAAACCCCUUAAAGUUGAAACUCCUACGUGGCUCCUCCUAGCCCUUUUGUGGCCUAGAGUCAGUGAGGGAAUAAGCCCCCACCAGACAGAAAUUUCUUGACCAAGUCGAGUAAAAGAUUUCACUCAAAGUUAGCAAAAAAAAAAAUGGGGGAAUGAAAGACCCCAGCUUAGCAGCAGUAACGCCAUUUUGCAAGGCUGUACUUAAGAUGACUGGUUCAGAGAAAGGUUAAAACACUGAGUACACAGCGGCUGCCAAGCAGGAUGUGUUUGGUUGAAGGCCUGGCAACAGGAGGACUGCCGUUGAACACCUGACAAUGAAAAAAGCCCCGGGAGAGGUCCCACACCCUGGUGGGGGGCCGAGUCAGCCGUUAUGUUCCAAGAAGGUAGCUAAGAAACUUGCCCCCGGGCUGAACCCUUGGGGGGCCGAGUCAGUCGUUAUGUUUCAGGAAGGUAGCUAGGAAACUUGCCCCCGGGCUAAACCCUUGCCAUAUUAGAAUCCACCAAUUAUAUCCCUGUAACCAUGCAUCUGCUUCUGUAUGCUUGCUUCUGCUCCCCAAAAUCCUAUAAAAGCCCAUCCUUGGUUCCGUGGGGCGCGCCAGUCCCCCGAGUGACUGAAGCGCCCACAGGUGCCUGUGCCUGUGUAUCCCGACAAUAAACCAAAUCCUCUUGCUGAUUGCAUCCUGUGGUGUCUCGGUCUGGUCUUUGGAGUUGGAGGGUCUCCAUCCCGAGGGAAAGUUCUCCCUGAGAGCUUUUCAAUACCACUCUAUCUCCUGAAUCCAUUAUCUUGCUAUCUGUUGCACUAGUGACUUUAAUCAAGUAAUUCUAAAGUCCAUCUCCACUCUGCAUUGUCACUAAAGUCUUUGCUUGGUUACUUUAGUGGUCUAUAAAUAGACACGGUUUUCUUUUCUUAAACGUACUGAGUCAGUAUUCAGUCUUUGUCAGGCUUCUGUGGAGGUUGUACUCUUCCUAUCCCAGCAGGGGUAUCGAACAGAAGAUAAAUUUAAGAGCUCAAAGAAUUUUAUCCAGAACCUAUCACAAAAGAAAUUAAAAAGAAGGGAAGGAUCUACCUUUGGUAAAUUUAUACAAUAGAAUUUAUAUAAUAGAGUUUAUUUACCGUCCAAGUUUGGAUUACCUACCUCUUGAGACCUUUGUGGGAGCAGCUUUAUGUCUUUUAUUGUCAUUGCUUUUUCCAGACAGGAUCUCUCCAUGUGGCCUUGGCUGUUUAAGAACUCACAGUGUAGAGCAGGCUGGCUGCCUGUUUCUGACUCCUGAAUGCUGGGAUCAAAGGCGUGCCCAACUGGGGGAGUGGCUUUUUAAAGGCACAAUUACAAUGACUUCCCAGGACUUAUGACUGUGCAACUAACAUGGCAAGAAGUUUUGCAGGUCUGAUUAAGGUCAGGGUUUCAUGAAUAAGAUAUUUUGGGCUGUCACUGAUGGGCAGUCUAACCAUGAGUCCUUAAAGUAAAUGAGAAAGAGAGGAUCAAUUCAGACUUCAGUUUCUUGGGUGUAUUUGAAGAAAAUGAGAAGCAGGAGUUUAAGUGGGUCUUGACCUGGACUUCAUAAUGCUGCACAACUAGAGUAUGGAGAGAGAGGACACCUUUCGGAAGCCAGGAACAGCCACUGGUUGACGAAGGCAAGGGAACGGAGCCCUUUAUCCUAGUUACAGCAGUUGAAUUCUGCCACUAUUGCAGAUGCACAAGGAGACAGACUCCCCUGGAGCUCCUGCCCCGGGGAGUUCUGCUAUUGAGACCCAUGGCAGACUUCUGACCUAUAUAAUCACAACAGCACACAGGAUUCUAAAUCACUAGAUCUGUGGGAAUUCUUUGUCAUCAGAAGAAAACUUUGUCCAAACUUUCAACUUACAAAGUUAUCUGUUAUAACUGAACAACCAACUCACCUUCUGUAUCUUUAGUUCUACAAUUCUUAUUUUGUAUGCUCUAGGAUUUUCUUUUACUCAUACAUCAGAUUUAUUGAACUUAGAAUUACUUUACUGUUUUAAAAAGAUUUAUUGUUAUUUUUAAGUGUGUGUAUAUCUGUCUGUCUGUCUGUCUGUCUUGGUAGUGAAUAAAGGUGCCACUAGAAGAUGGAGACAUUGGAUCACCUAGUGCUAGAGUUAUAGGCAGUUGUGAUUUGCACCAUGUGCGUGCGGGGAACCACGUAAGGGCCCCAUGUAAGAGCAGAGCAUCCUCUUAACCACAGAGCCAUCUUUCCAGCCUGCUUCAGUGCUUUUAACGGAACAGUGUUUUGCUUUCACUGACAUAAUCUGGUUUCUGUGUGGUUCAUCUUACCCUGUACUUCCUUUUGAUGAUCUUUCCUACCUUUUAAAUUGUACAGAUAAUUUAGUUAUUUUACUGUCUUGCUUGUUAAUAAUUACAUUUCUUCUAGGUAUCAUUUUAUCUUUCAGGUUGGUAUGUAGCAUUUUUUGAAGAUGGCAUUAUCACUCACUUCUCAUUUCCUUAUCAAUUCCUCUAGAGGAUUAAUCCUACUUUUCUCAGUGGUGAGGUAUAUAUGUGUAAGAUAAAGGGGGCCUCGGGAAUAGGGAGACUGAACAAGACUGGAAAGAAGCUAUGUCUGCAAAUGUGGAUUGACUGAUUAGAACUUCGUGAUGUGGAGAGGUGGGAAUAUUUCAGGUCCAGAUGUGAGGAGGUUAGAAUGUUGCAGGUUAUAAUUUAUCUUCAGCUUCCUUAGCUGGAUAAAAAGCCAUUCUCUAUGUGACACUUAACAUCCUUGGACUAACAGAUGAAAGCCUGUUAGGAUGGUCAAACAUCAUCUGAGGCCAACAGUUGAGAUUUCUCCAUUUUGCCAUAACCACCUACUUAAUGUUUCCACCAAUGUAUUUGAAAAGCACCUUAAUUUAUGGUUUUCUUUGUCCUCUUUCUAUGAAAACUCCAUGAGCCUGGCUGGAUCCCUGGAAGCGUUGGGACAUGGAAUUUGAGGCAACUUAAGUCUGUGUUCCCAGGCUGUGAAUUCAUAUUCGGCUCCAGAGUAAAUGCUCUCUGAUCCCUCUUUCUGAGACAGGAGCAUGCUGUCCUCCACCCACCAGCUGACUCAGACAGAUACAGGGACCCACAGCCAAACAGCGGAUGGAGCUUGGGACUCUUAUGGAAGAACAGGAGGAAGGAUUGAGGCCUCUAAGGGGACAGGAACUCCACAGGAAGACCAACAGAGUCAACCAAUCUGUAUCCUUGGGAAUCUCAGAGACUGAACCACCAACCAAACAACAUACACAGGCUGGAUAUGCAGCUUGGCCUUCGUGUGGGUCCUGAGCGACUGGAGUGGGAGUUAUCCCAAAAACUGCUGCCUGGUCGUGGCCUAUGUUCCUCUAGCUGGGCUGCCUUGUCUGACCUCAGCGGGAGAGGAAGCACCUAGCUCCACAGAGACUUGAUGGGGCAGGGUAGGGGAAUACCCAGGUGGUGGGGCACUUCCUCAGAGAAGGUGAGGGUGGAAUGGAGGAAGGACUGUGAGAACAGGUGACAGGAGGUGGGCAGUGAGCAGGAUAUAAAGUGAAUAAUUUAAAGAAAAUUUAAAAAAUAUAUUGUGUUUUUUAAUUGAA